Molecule: unclassified non-coding RNA, 398 nt
Filed under: fungal sp.
Lineage: Eukaryota; Fungi
Description: partial internal transcribed spacer region
Rfam family: Eukaryotic small subunit ribosomal RNA (bases 1-46)
Source: RNAcentral
AAGUCGUAACAAGGUUUCCGUAGGUGAACCUGCGGAAGGAUCAUUAAUACGCUUUUGUUUGUAACAAAACAAAACGUUUUAAACCCCAAAAUUGAAAUAGUGGAAACAUAACUUCCGGAUGCGAAUGUUGGAGAACUUGAGUAAAAUCGGUUCUUUGAGAAAAGGGACUUCAAGCAAUUGACACUUCAGAGUAGAGCAGUGAGGUGAAACUCGAAAGAGUUUGGUUCUGAAAAACAUUUGUAUCCGGUUAUCAAAUCUGUUCUACCAAAAUAUAAAACAAUAAACCCCAUGUACAACAACUUGAACUAAACAUUUUUUUGUUGUCUGCUUCGCGGCAGAUGUGCAAAGAAAAAACCUGAACUUAAGAACAACUCUUAACAAUGGAUAUCUUGGUUCUC